Molecule: ribosomal RNA, 433 nt
Filed under: uncultured bacterium
Lineage: Bacteria
Description: partial 16S ribosomal RNA
Rfam family: Bacterial small subunit ribosomal RNA
Source: RNAcentral
AGCGAACGCUGGCGGCAGGCCUAACACAUGCAAGUCGAACGAACUCUUCGGAGUUAGUGGCGGACGGGUGAGUAACACGUGGGAACGUGCCUUUUGGUUCGGAAUAACUCAGGGAAACUUGUGCUAAUACCGAAUGUGCCCUUCGGGGGAAAGAUUUAUCGCCAUUAGAGCGGCCCGCGUCUGAUUAGCUAGUUGGUGAGGUAACGGCUAAGCAAGGCGACGAUCAUUAGCUGGUCUGAGAGGAUGACCAGCCACACUGGGACUGAGACACGGCCCAGACUCCGACGGGAGGCAGGAGUGGGGAAUCUUGCGCAAUGGGCGAAAGCCUGACGCAGCCAUGCCGCGUGAAUGAUGAAGGUCUUAGGAUUGUAAAAUUCUUUCACCGGGGACGAUAAUGACGGUACCCGGAAAAGAAGCCCCGGCUAACUUCGUG